GAUGAACGCUGGCGGCGUGCCUAAUACAUGCAAGUCGAGCGAAUGGAUUAAGAGCUUGCUCUUAUGAAGUUAGCGGCGGACGGGUGAGUAACACGUGGGUAACCUGCCCAUAAGACUGGGAUAACUCCGGGAAACCGGGGCUAAUACCGGAUAACAUUUUGAACCGCAUGGUUCGAAAUUGAAAGGCGGCUUCGGCUGUCACUUAUGGAUGGACCCGAGUCGCAUUAGCUAGUUGGUGAGGUAACGGCUCACCAAGGCAACGAUGCGUAGCCGACCUGAGAGGGUGAGCGGCCACACUGGGACUGAGACACGGCCCAGACUCCUACGGGAGGCAGCAGUAGGGAAUCUUCCGCAAUGGACGAAAGUCUGACGGAGCAACGCCGCGUGGGUGAUGAAGGCUUUCGGGUCGUAAAACUCUGUUGUUAGGGAAGAACAAGUGCUAGUUGAAUAAGCUGGCACCUUGACGGUACCUAACCAGAAAGCCACGGCUAACUACGUGCCAGCAGCCGCCGUAA
RNAcentral lists this ribosomal RNA (515 nucleotides) under uncultured bacterium. RNAcentral's name for it is "partial 16S ribosomal RNA". It matches the Rfam family "Bacterial small subunit ribosomal RNA", at positions 28 to 523 of the family's 1533-position model. The record is from RNAcentral.